This 94-nucleotide microRNA precursor is filed under the name Canis lupus familiaris (dog). RNAcentral describes it as "mir-8799 microRNA precursor family". It matches the Rfam family "mir-8799 microRNA precursor family". The record is from Rfam by way of RNAcentral. RNAcentral also lists the same sequence under 1 other name. Lineage: Eukaryota; Metazoa; Chordata; Mammalia; Carnivora; Canidae.
CGGGGGAGGCCGGAUCCUGGGCUGUGUCCCUCAGCACCCUGGGCUCCUUGUGGGCCUGCGCUGUUGGAUUUGCGCUCCCGCCUCGCAGCCCCCU